UUUCAAUUCAACUUUCAACUUUCCAAUUGCGUUUGUUAUCUUCAUGUUCUAACGUAGUUUCAUAUGGUGGUUUGAACUUCAGAGGAUUGUGUUGCAUUCAGAGUUUACCGGAAUUUCAUUUUCUAUGAUAAAUUGGAGUUAGACAUUGAGCAUUCUUUCUGGUGUGUGAAGAAUUAAUUAGUUGUGUGUUCAAGUGCUAGCUGGUGCUAGAUUUUAGCCAGAGAGUUUAAGGGAACACCCAGUUUCUUUCACACCUCUUGUCAACAAUCUUGCCAGCUGAGCAAUUAGUCUGUCAUGCUUUGUCCUUAGACUGAAGAUGGAGGACUUCUGUGACUUACCCUUUGAUCUAAAUGAAAUUUUCAGAGUGGAAACCUUAGAUGACACAGAAAUACUUACAGACCCUUAUCUGUGUUUGUCAAUCCUUGGACAGGAGAACCCGGAUGAGGUGUUGAAUGGUGGUGUGUUGUUGGAAUUGGAGAGCUUCCUGUUUGAUGGCCCUUCAGCAGAGAGUACAACAGGAGAUUUGUAUAGGGAUCCCCCAAAUGUUCAGACGGUCCCUG
Molecule: long non-coding RNA, 560 nt
Organism: Daphnia pulicaria
Lineage: Eukaryota; Metazoa; Arthropoda; Branchiopoda; Diplostraca; Daphniidae
Exons: 4
Source: RefSeq, a predicted model, not a curated record